UACUGUUUAAUAAAAAAUAAAAAAAAAUCACCUUUAUUUAACCAGGUAGGCUAGUUGAGAACACCUUUAUUUAACCAGGUAGGCUAGUUGAGAACACCUUUAUUUAACCAGGUAGGCUAGUUGAGAACACCUUUAUUUAACCAGGUAGGCUAGUUGAGAACACCUUUAUUUAACCAGGUAGGCUAGUUGAGAACACCUUUAUUUAACCAGGUAAGCUAGUUGAGAACAAGUUCUCAUUUGCAACUGUGACCUGGCCAAGAUAAAGCAAAGUAGUUCGACACAUUUAACAACACAGAGUUACACAUGGAAUGAACCAACAUACAAGCAAUAAUACAGUAGAUCUAUAUACAGCAUGUGUAAAUGAGGCAGGAUAAGAGAGGUAAUACAUACAGUAGAUCUAUAUACAGCAUGUGUAAAUGAGGCAGGAUGAGAGAGGUAAUAAAUACAGUAGAUCUAUAUACAGCAUGUGUAAAUGAGGCAGGAUGAGAGAGGUAAUAAAUACAGUAGAUCUAUAUACAGCAUGUGUAAAUGAGGCAGGAUGAGAGAGGUAAUAAAUACAGUAGAUCUAUAUACAGCAUGUGUAAAUGAGGCAGGAUAAGAGAGGUAAUAAAUACAGUAGAUCUAUAUACAGCAUGUGUAAAUGAGGCAGGAUGAGAGAGGUAAUAAAUACAGUAGAUCUAUAUACAGCAUGUGUAAAUGAGGCAGGAUAAGAGAGGUAAUAAAUACAGUAGAUCUAUAUACAGCAUGUGUAAAUGAGGCAGGAUAAGAGAGGUAAUAAAUACAGUAGAUCUAUAUACAGCAUGUGUAAAUGAGGCAGGAUGAGAGAGGUAAUAAAUACAGUAGAUCUAUAUACAGCAUGUGUAAAUGAGGCAGGAUGAGAGAGGUAAUAAAUACAGUAGAUCUAUAUACAGCAUGUGUAAAUGAGGCAGGAUGAGAGAGGUAAUAAAUACAGUAGAUCUAUAUACAGCAUGUGUAAAUGAGGCAGGAUGAGAGAGGUAAUAAAUACAGUAGAUCUAUAUACAGCAUGUGUAAAUGAGGCAGGAUGAGAGAGGUAAUAAAUACAGUAGAUCUAUAUACAGCAUGUGUAAAUGAGGCAGGAUGAGAGAGGUAAUAAAUACAGUAGAUCUAUAUACAGCAUGUGUAAAUGAGGCAGGAUGAGAGAGGUAAUAAAUACAGUAGAUCUAUAUACAGCAUGUGUAAAUGAGGCAGGAUGAGAGAGGUAAUAAAUACAGUAGAUCUAUAUACAGCAUGUGUAAAUGAGGCAGGAUGAGAGAGGUAAUAAAUACAGUAGAUCUAUAUACAGCAUGUGUAAAUGAGGCAGGAUGAGAGAGGUAAUAAAUACAGUAGAUCUAUAUACAGCAUGUGUAAAUGAGGCAGGAUGAGAGAGGUAAUAAAUACAGUAGAUCUAUAUACAGCAUGUGUAAAUGAGGCAGGAUAAGAGAGGUAAUAAAUACAGUAGAUCUAUAUACAGCAUGUGUAAAUGAGGCAGGAUAAGAGAGGUAAUAAAUACAGUAGAUCUAUAUACAGCAUGUGUAAAUGAGGCAGGAUGAGAGAGGUAAUAAAUACAGUAGAUCUAUAUACAGCAUGUGUAAAUGAGGCAGGAUAAGAGAGGUAAUAAAUACAGUAGAUCUAUAUACAGCAUGUGUAAAUGAGGCAGGAUGAGAGAGGUAAUAAAUACAGUAGAUCUAUAUACAGCAUGUGUAAAUGAGGCAGGAUGAGAGAGGUAAUAAAUACAGUAGAUCUAUAUACAGCAUGUGUAAAUGAGGCAGGAUGAGAGAGGUAAUAAAUACAGUAGAUCUAUAUACAGCAUGUGUAAAUGAGGCAGGAUAAGAGAGGUAAUAAAUACAGUAGAUCUAUAUACAGCAUGUGUAAAUGAGGCAGGAUAAGAGAGGUAAUAAAUACAGUAGAUCUAUAUACAGCAUGUGUAAAUGAGGCAGGAUGAGAGAGGUAAUAAAUACAGUAGAUCUAUAUACAGCAUGUGUAAAUGAGGCAGGAUAAGAGAGGUAAUAAAUACAGUAGAUCUAUAUACAGCAUGUGUAAAUGAGGCAGGAUGAGAGAGGUAAUAAAUACAGUAGAUCUAUAUACAGCAUGUGUAAAUGAGGCAGGAUGAGAGAGAUAAUAAAUACAGUAGAUCUAUAUACAGCAUGUGUAAAUGAGGCAGGAUGAGAGAGGUAAUAAAUACAGUAGAUCUAUAUACAGCAUGUGUAAAUGAGGCAGGAUGAGAGAGGUAAUAAAUACAGUAGAUCUAUAUACAGCAUGUGUAAAUGAGGCAGGAUAAGAGAGGUAAUAAAUACAGUAGAUCUAUAUACAGCAUGUGUAAAUGAGGCAGGAUAAGAGAGGUAAUAAAUACAGUAGAUCUAUAUACAGCAUGUGUAAAUGGGGCAGGAUGAGAGAGGUAAUAAAUACAGUAGAUCUAUAUACAGCAUGUGUAAAUGAGGCAGGAUAAGAGAGGUAAUAAAUACAGUAGAUCUAUAUACAGCAUGUGUAAAUGAGGCAGGAUGA
This is a long non-coding RNA of Oncorhynchus keta (chum salmon), 2502 nucleotides long. RefSeq lists it as uncharacterized. The transcript has 3 exons. Lineage: Eukaryota; Metazoa; Chordata; Actinopteri; Salmoniformes; Salmonidae. The record is from RefSeq and is a predicted model, not a curated record.